UGUAGCGGUGAAAUGCGUAGAGAUGUGGAGGAACACCAGUGGCGAAGGCGACUCUCUGGUCUGUAACUGACGCUGAGGAGCGAAAGCGUGGGGAGCGAACAGGAUUAGAUACCCUGGUAGUCCACGCCGUAAACGAUGAGUGCUAAGUGUUAGGGGGUUUCCGCCCCUUAGUGCUGCAGCUAACGCAUUAAGCACUCCGCCUGGGGAGUACGGUCGCAAGACUGAAACUCAAAGGAAUUGACGGGGGCCCGCACAAGCGGUGGAGCAUGUGGUUUAAUUCGAAGCAACGCGAAGAACCUUACCAGGUCUUGACAUCCUCUGACAAUCCUAGAGAUAGGACGUCCCCUUCGGGGGCAGAGUGACAGGUGGUGCAUGGUUGUCGUCAGCUCGUGUCGUGAGAUGUUGGGUUAAGUCCCGCAACGAGCGCAACCCUUGAUCUUAGUUGCCAGCAUUCAGUUGGGCACUCUAAGGUGACUGCCGGUGACAAACCGGAGGAAGGUGGGGAUGACGUCAAAUCAUCAUGCCCCUUAUGACCUGGGCUACACACGUGCUACAAUGGACAGAACAAAGGGCAGCGAAACCGCGAGGUUAAGCCAAUCCCACAAAUCUGUUCUCAGUUCGGAUCGCAGUCUGCAACUCGACUGCGUGAAGCUGGAAUCGCUAGUAAUCGCGGAUC
This 676-nucleotide ribosomal RNA is filed under the name Bacillus amyloliquefaciens. RNAcentral describes it as "bacterial SSU rRNA". It matches the Rfam family "Bacterial small subunit ribosomal RNA", at positions 674 to 1350 of the family's 1533-position model. Lineage: Bacteria; Bacillati; Bacillota; Bacilli; Caryophanales; Bacillaceae. The record is from RNAcentral.